Molecule: small nuclear RNA, 169 nt
Organism: Pogoniulus pusillus (Red-fronted tinkerbird)
Lineage: Eukaryota; Metazoa; Chordata; Aves; Piciformes; Lybiidae
Product: U1 spliceosomal RNA
Exons: 1
Source: RefSeq, a predicted model, not a curated record
UUACUUAUCUGACAGGGGAGACACCAUGAUCAGGCAGGUGGUUUUCCCAGGGUGAGGCUCAUCCUUUGCACUCCAGGUGUGCUGACCCCUGCAAUUUCCCCAAAUGCGGGAAACUCGACUGCAUAAUUUGUGGUAGCAGAAUUUAUUUUUAGGUGAGGAGAAAGUUCUU